AUACGGAGGGUGCAAGCGUUAAUCGGAAUUACUGGGCGUAAAGCGCGCGUAGGCGGAUAUUUAAGUCUCAUGUGAAAGCCCUGGGCUCAACCUGGGAACUGCAUGGGAUACUGGGUAUCUAGAAUACAGUAGAGGGUAGUGGAAUUUCAGGUGUAGCGGUGAAAUGCGUAGAGAUCUGAAGGAACAUCAGUGGCGAAGGCGACUACCUGGACUGAUAUUGACGCUGAGGUGCGAAAGCGUGGGGAGCAAACGGGAUUAGAUACCCCGGUAGUCC
Molecule: ribosomal RNA, 274 nt
Filed under: uncultured bacterium
Lineage: Bacteria
Description: partial 16S ribosomal RNA
Rfam family: Bacterial small subunit ribosomal RNA
Source: RNAcentral